This 253-nucleotide ribosomal RNA is filed under the name uncultured bacterium. RNAcentral's name for it is "partial 16S ribosomal RNA". It matches the Rfam family "Bacterial small subunit ribosomal RNA", at positions 524 to 776 of the family's 1533-position model. The record is from RNAcentral.
UACGGAGGGUGCAAGCGUUAUCCGGAUUCACUGGGUUUAAAGGGUGCGUAGGCGGGUAUGUAAGUCAGUGGUGAAAUCUUGGAGCUUAACUCCGAAACUGCCAUUGAUACUAUAUAUCUUGAAUAUCGUUGAGGUUUGCGGAAUAUGUCAUGUAGCGGUGAAAUGCUUAGAUAUGACAUAGAACACCAAUUGCGAAGGCAGCAGGCUAAACGAACAUUGACGCUGAGGCACGAAAGCGUGGGGAUCAAACAGG